Long non-coding RNA from Esox lucius (northern pike), 1515 nucleotides. The record is from Ensembl. NCBI's taxonomy places the organism in Eukaryota, Metazoa, Chordata, Actinopteri, Esociformes, Esocidae.
GCACACUAUAGUUGAACCAUUCAGUCUCGCCAAAUUUCACAAUCAAUGCUGCCUCCGUCCACUCAAUGAAGGCAAGGGGAGCUUUCUCCAAGAUUCAGGUCUUUAGUCUAAUCAGUGCCAAGACGUAACACGUAACACCUUGUGGUGGGUUUCCUCUGUGCACACUGGACGUGAACAUUUACUCCAGCACAGCGAUCUGUCAGACACAAGAUUUUAAGAACAACAACAACAGAGAGGUGGUGAGGAUGAACAUGGAAAUGGCCAGCACUCUUAGAAGCAAGCCAGAUACUGCUGGUGUUUCUGCUGGGUCAGGUGAUAUGAUGGAUGUCCAGAUUCAACUCAAGAAGUUUGAUAAGUAGAUGAGUGACUAUCAACAUGUGAAUUAAUAAAUCAAAGCUGUAUAACAGAAACAAAUUCUUAAAUAAAAGUUUGAAGGUGGAAAGGUAGGCUAUAAUUGUAGUAGAGCAUAAAAUGUACAUUCAAAUAGGUUACAUCUUAUAUCUGCACAGUUUUAGAUCACCUGCUGUUUUAUUUUGUUGCAAGUGGAACAUAAGGACACACUCUCCCCCAUAUUUAUUGAUUCUGGAGUGCAGAUAUUCAAUCUCGUUUGAAUAUGUUUUCAUUUUGCUUUCUUCCCAUAGUGCAUCCUGGUGCCAUGGUAAGCGAUAUGAUGCUUUGGACAAUGCUUGGUCCUGCCAUUCAUGUCGAUGUUACUUUAGCAAUGCACACGCUCCCGGCCAUCCACGUGAUGUAAAAGAAAACAUGAUUCAUCAGACCAGGCCACCUUCUUCCAUUGCUCUGUGGUCCAGUUCUGAUGUUCACAUGCCCAUUGUAGGUGCCUUCGGCAGUGGACAGGGGUCAGCAUGGGCCCCCUGACUGGUCUGGGGUUAGGCAGCCCCAUACGCAACAAACUGCGAUCCACUGUGUGUUCUGACACCUUUCUGUCAGUACCAGCAUUAAACUCUUCAGCAAUUUGAGCUACAGUAACUCGUCUGUUGGCCAGCCUUUGCUCCCCACGUGUAUCAAUGAGCCUUGGCCACCCAUGAUUCUGUCACCGGUUCACCGCUUUUCCUUCCUUGGACCACUUUUGAUAGGUGCUGACCACUGCAGACUUCCCACAAGAGCUGCAGAUUUGGAGAUGUUCUGACCCAGUCAUCUGACCAUCACAAUCCUGUUUUUUAGCCCUUCUGUUAUGUUAACAUUUUGGUUACACUCACUAUGUUAGCGGGUCAAAUGGUGUUAAAUCACUAGAACCGUCAAAUGCCUAUGCCAAUUAGCGUUUGAGUUUGUAAUUAAAAUACAACUGCCAUUUUGAAAGCUACAGCCUCCUCCUUCUAUGACUUUUACUAAAUAGGUGUAUAUUACAUUGUUCCGUUGUCAGAAUUCUAAACUUACAAACAGAAAACGAUUUAGAGACGAUCUACCUGUUUUUUUCACCCUGUUUUUAUACUAAAUCCGCCAACAGCCCACGCCACUUAGCAUUGGUACCCAAAUGGUACCCAGAUGCUAAUCACC